GCAGUCGAGGGGUAAGAUCAAGCCUUGCUUGAUACACGACCGAGCGAACGGGUGCGUAACGCGAUAUGCAACCUACCCACAGCUGGGGCAUAGCCCGCUGGUAAACAUGGAUUAAUUCCCCAUAAUGCAGGGGUACCGCAUGGUACUAUUUGCUAAAGAUUUAUCGGCUGUGGAUGGGCAUGCGUCUGAUUAGCUUGUUGGUGAGGUAAUGGCACACCAAGGCUGCGAUCAGUAGCGGGUCUGAGAGGAUGAUCCGCCACACUGGCACUGAGAUACGGGCCAGACUCCUACGGGAGGCAGCAGUAGGGAAUAUUGGGCAAUGGGCGAAAGCCUGACCCAGCCAUGCCGCGUGCAGGAUGACAGCCUUCUGGGUUGUAAACUGCUUUUGUACAGGAAGAAAAAGGCCAUGCGUGGCCAAAUUGACGGUACUGUAAGAA
RNAcentral lists this ribosomal RNA (437 nucleotides) under uncultured Bacteroidota bacterium. RNAcentral's name for it is "bacterial SSU rRNA". It matches the Rfam family "Bacterial small subunit ribosomal RNA", at positions 57 to 486 of the family's 1533-position model. The record is from RNAcentral. Lineage: Bacteria; Pseudomonadati; Bacteroidota.